GACGAACGCUGGCGGCGUGCUUAACACAUGCAAGUCGAACGGAAAGGCCCUGCUUUUGUGGGGUGCUCGAGUGGCGAACGGGUGAGUAACACGCGAGUAACCUGCCCUUGACUUUGGGAUAACUUCAGGAAACUGGGGCUAAUACCGGAUAGGAGCUCCUGCUGCAUGGUGGGGGUUGGAAAGUUUCGGCGGUUGGGGAUGGACUCGCGGCUUAUCAGCUUGUUGGUGGGGUAGUGGCUUACCAAGGCUUUGACGGGUAGCCGGCCUGAGAGGGUGACCGGGCACAUUGGGACUGCGAUACGGCGCAGACUGCUACGGGAGGCAGCAGUGGGGAAUAUUGCACAAUGGGCGGAAGCCUGAUGCAGCAGCGCCGCGUGCGGGAUGACGGCCUUCGGGUUGUAAACCGCUUUCGACUGUGACGAAGCGUGAGUGACGGUAAUGGGUAAGGAAGCACCGGCUAACUACGUG
This 468-nucleotide ribosomal RNA is filed under the name uncultured bacterium. Its description in RNAcentral is "partial 16S ribosomal RNA". It matches the Rfam family "Bacterial small subunit ribosomal RNA", at positions 28 to 507 of the family's 1533-position model. The record is from RNAcentral.